RNAcentral lists this ribosomal RNA (465 nucleotides) under Vreelandella stevensii. RNAcentral describes it as "partial 16S ribosomal RNA". It matches the Rfam family "Bacterial small subunit ribosomal RNA", at positions 338 to 795 of the family's 1533-position model. Lineage: Bacteria; Pseudomonadati; Pseudomonadota; Gammaproteobacteria; Oceanospirillales; Halomonadaceae. The record is from RNAcentral.
CCUACGGGAGGCAGCAGUGGGGAAUAUUGGACAAUGGGGGGAACCCUGAUCCAGCCAUGCCGCGUGUGUGAAGAAGGCCCUCGGGUCGUAAAGCACUUUCAGUGAGGAAGAACGCCUGGUGGUUAAUACCCAUCAGGAAAGACAUCACUCACAGAAGAAGCACCGGCUAACUCCGUGCCAGCAGCCGCGGUAAUACGGAGGGUGCGAGCGUUAAUCGGAAUUACUGGGCGUAAAGCGCGCGUAGGUGGCUUGAUAAGCCGGUUGUGAAAGCCCCGGGCUCAACCUGGGAACGGCAUCCGGAACUGUCAAGCUAGAGAGCAGGGGAGGAAGGUAGAAUUCCCGGUGUAGCGGUGAAAUGCGUAGAGAUCGGGAGGAAUACCAGUGGCGAAGGCGGCCUUCUGGACUGACACUGACACUGAGGUGCGAAAGCGUGGGUAGCAAACAGGAUUAGAUACCCCGGUAGUC